AAAUCUGAGGGGCAUCUGAGCCCAGGCUGUUAGGUUUCCCUUCCUUUUCCUUUUUCGUGGUUCCUCAGCCUUUGUUGCGAUUCCUUGAUUGACCUCCCUAAGAAAGAGGCUCCGGAAGAGACCCACUCCAGCACCCACCCCCCCCCUCCCAAACCUGGAGGCUCCUUGGAGGGGCCACCUUCCACUCCUGAGAGCCUUGGGUGGAGCAACCAAAGGAAGAGGCCGCAGGCUGCUGUGCUCGCGUUCUCCCCAGGGUUUGCUGUGAAGGAUUCUUCUCCCUAAGGACUGUGGCCUGAGUUGUCGGUUAUCCCGCCCAGAACACACAGGAUGUGGAAGAUGCCUUCCCGGGAGGAAGAACCGGGAGCAGAGGCUUGGGUAAGAUUCCCCAGCAGAAGAUUCUUUAUGCCAGGACGGCAGCUGUGGAAGCCAUAAUAACCACAAGAAAUGCUAUAAUCGAGAGGAAGAAAACGGGUCUGCCAUGUAUGCCCGACAAGACCACUUAACCUUAGACUCUGCCAAAGGAGGACGCCGCUCGCCCUUGUUCCCAGAGGAGUGGUGGUGAUUCCUCAAGGGGUGGCUGCCUUGGCCGACUGGUGCAUGUCAGGAGUGGAGAUGCACAGUGACUUGCUAUGCAAAGUGCCUCACCGGCUGUACGGAUGUGUGUGAACUGCUAAAGACCGCAAAGGAACCAGCCUAUGACUUAAGAUCACC
Molecule: long non-coding RNA, 711 nt
Filed under: Equus asinus (donkey)
Lineage: Eukaryota; Metazoa; Chordata; Mammalia; Perissodactyla; Equidae
Description: lncRNA (ENSEASG00005025624.1)
Source: RNAcentral